This 395-nucleotide ribosomal RNA is filed under the name uncultured bacterium. RNAcentral describes it as "bacterial SSU rRNA". It matches the Rfam family "Bacterial small subunit ribosomal RNA", at positions 43 to 434 of the family's 1533-position model. The record is from RNAcentral.
CCGGCCUAACACAUGCAGGUCGAACGGGAACAGGAAGAAGCUUGCUUCUUUGCUGAUUACUGGCGGACGGGUGAUUAAUGUCUGGGAAACUGCCUGAUGGAGGGGGAAAAAUACUGGAAACGGUAACAAAUACCGCAUAACGUCCCAAAACCAAAGAGGGGGACCUUCGGGCCUCUUGCCAUCGGAUGUGCCCAGAUGGGAUUAACUAAUAGGUGGGGUAACGGUUCACCUAGGCGACGAUCCCUAGCUGGUCUGAAAGGAUGACCAGCCCCACUGGAACUGAAACACGGUCCAAACUCCUACGGGAGGCAGCAGUGGGGAAUAUUGCACAAUGGGCGCAAGCCUGAUGCAUCCAUGCCGCGUGUAUGAAGAAAGCCUUCGGGUUGUAAAGUACU